This 497-nucleotide ribosomal RNA is filed under the name uncultured bacterium. RNAcentral's name for it is "partial 16S ribosomal RNA". It matches the Rfam family "Bacterial small subunit ribosomal RNA", at positions 28 to 507 of the family's 1533-position model. The record is from RNAcentral.
GAUGAACGCUGGCGGCGUGCCUAAUACAUGCAAGUCGAGCGAACAGACGAGGAUCUUGCUCCUCUGACGUUAGCGGCGGACGGGAGAGUAACACGUGUAUAACCUACCUAUAAGACUGGGAUAACUACGGGAAACCGGAUCUAAUACCGGAUGAUAUAUUGAAGCACAUUGUUCAAUAGUGAGAUUCGGUUUUUGUUGCACUUAUCGAUGGAUCAGCGCCGCAUGGGCUAGUUGUUAAGGAAACGGCUUACCAAGGUGAGGAUGCGUAGCCGGCCUCAGCGGGAGGUAGGACACCUUGGAACAGAGCAAGGGUCCAGACUCCUACGGGAGGACGCAGUCGGGAAUCUUACGCAAUGGGGGAGAGCCUGACAGAGCAGAGGCGGGUGAGUGAUGAAGGUGUCCGGCCCGGAAAACCCUGUUAUUAGGGAAGAACAAAUGUGUAAGUAGCUAUGAACGUAUUGACGGUACCUAAUGAGAAAGCCACGGCUAACUACGUG